AUGAACGCUGGCGGCGUGCCUAAUACAUGCAAGUCGAGCGAACAGACGAGGAGCUUGCUCCUCUGACGUUAGCGGCGGACGGGUGAGUAACACGUGGAUAACCUACCUAUAAGACUGGGAUAACUUCGGGAAACCGGAGCUAAUACCGGAUAAUAUAUUGAACCGCAUGGUUCAAUAGUGAAAGACGGUUUUGCUGUCACUUAUAGAUGGAUCCGCGCCGCAUUAGCUAGUUGGUAAGGUAACGGCUUACCAAGGCAACGAUGCGUAGCCGACCUGAGAGGGUGAUCGGCCACACUGGAACUGAGACACGGUCCAGACUCCUACGGGAGGCAGCAGUAGGGAAUCUUCCGCAAUGGGCGAAAGCUUGACGGAGCAGCGCCGCGUGAGUGAUGAAGGUCUUCGGAUCGUAAAACUCUGUUAUUAGGGAAGAACAAAUGUGUAAGUAACUAUGCACGUCUUGACGGUACCUAAUCAGAAAGCCACGGCUAACUACGUG
Molecule: ribosomal RNA, 496 nt
Filed under: uncultured bacterium
Lineage: Bacteria
Description: partial 16S ribosomal RNA
Rfam family: Bacterial small subunit ribosomal RNA
Source: RNAcentral